GACGAACGCUGGCGGCGUGCUUAACACAUGCAAGUCGAACGAAGUGGCGAACGGGUGAGUAACGCGUAAUCACCUUGCUCUUCAGAGGGGGACAACAGUUGGAAACGACUGCUAAUACCGCAUACUGAAGGAGGAGAUUGCGUCUGAUUAGCUAGUUGGAGGGGUAACGGGCCACCAAGGCGAUGAUCAGUAGGCGGUCUGGGAGGAGGGACGGGCACAUUGGGACUGGGAAAAGGCCCAGAAUCCUACGGGAGGCAGCCGUGGGGAAUCUUCCGCAAUGGAAGAAAGUCUGACGGGGGAAAGCCGCGUGAGGGAUGACGGCCUUCGGGUUGUAAAGCUUUUUUAAUCGGGACGCGGUACCGGAAUAGAAAGCCACGGCUAACUACGUGCCAGCAGCCGCGGUAAUAC
Molecule: ribosomal RNA, 408 nt
Filed under: uncultured bacterium
Lineage: Bacteria
Description: partial 16S ribosomal RNA
Rfam family: Bacterial small subunit ribosomal RNA
Source: RNAcentral